Molecule: long non-coding RNA, 912 nt
Organism: Poeciliopsis prolifica (blackstripe livebearer)
Lineage: Eukaryota; Metazoa; Chordata; Actinopteri; Cyprinodontiformes; Poeciliidae
Exons: 3
Source: RefSeq, a predicted model, not a curated record
GUGUGUUGUAUGUGUGUUUUUAUUGACAUUACAAACAUUUAAGUUGUCUGGGACAAAAAUGGCGUUUACAUCCAUGUUUGACGGGUGACCAGGGGUGCUCAGAUUUCUGCAGUCAUGAAACGACGCUUCUGCAUUUCACAUGAAAUUGAUGGGAUCUGUUAGGUGAACUGAGAUCUAUUCAGAUUCUGAGGAAAAGCCACCGAUUCAGAGAAUCUCUCCCAUGACCAGCAGCUCCAUGCAGCCACAAGCUCCUCUCCACCUUCACUCCCACAUGUUCUCCACCUUCACCCUCUCAUCCACUGUGAUGAUCCACCAGCUGCUCUGUGUUCACCUGUUGCUUUUCCGCCCAGUAACUCCAGUAACCGACUCCCUUCAACUGGAAACCUCUGUUGGCUUGAUCUGUGAGGGACCUGCUGUCUGCAACAUUUUAUCCAAAAUACUCUCAAACCACCAAGCGGAGCAGCAGAGCAAACGGGGUGGAGAGAGAAGAGACGUCUCUGGUCACCAGCACUUAGUGACUGAAAUAUUUAGCAACUAUAAACUCAUUUACCAGUCAGUCUAAAAUUGUGUGAACUGUUGUACAUUCAUAGACUUUGUCGUGUGCAUUUCUCCUGUAGCCAAUGAAACAUUUUGUUUCAUAAAACCAUGAAACAUUUCUUUAUGAUACACGUCUCAGUUUAAAAUGUAUAUUUUGUCUGUUUCUGAGGAACCAAUGGUCAGAUUUGGAUCACCAAUACAAUUUUGAGAAGGCUCCAGGCUGUCUGGCUUGUUUUUUUUGUUUUUGUUUUAAUUAGUUUGUGUAUGUGUCAACGCUCAUGAAAUAUCUCUUUUAAAAUCAUAUUUUUAAGCUGUGGUUGGUUAUUAAAUGCUGACUUUAUCUUGAUUUAUUAUUAUUGUGAAUGUCUUUUCUGA